RNAcentral lists this ribosomal RNA (101 nucleotides) under uncultured bacterium. RNAcentral's name for it is "partial 16S ribosomal RNA". The record is from RNAcentral.
UGAAGGCUCUAUGGGUCGUAAACUGCUUUUAUACGGGAAGAAACCCUCCACGUGUGGAGGGUUGACGGUACUGUAAGAAUAAGGAUCGGCUAACUCCGUGC